Molecule: ribosomal RNA, 497 nt
Filed under: uncultured bacterium
Lineage: Bacteria
Description: partial 16S ribosomal RNA
Rfam family: Bacterial small subunit ribosomal RNA
Source: RNAcentral
GACGAACGCUGGCGGCGUGCCUAAUACAUGCAAGUUGAGCGCUGAAGGUUGGUCCUUGUCCUGACUGGAUGAGCAGCGCACGGGUGAGUAACGCGUGGGGAAUCUGCCUUUGAGCGGGGGACAACACUUGGAAACGAAUGCUAAUACCGCAUAAAAACUUUAAACACAAGUUUUAAGUUUGAAAGAUGCAAUUGCGUCACUCAAAGAUGAUCCCGCGUUGUAUUAGCUAGUUGGUGAGGUAAAGGCUCACCAAGGCGAUGAUACAUAGCCGACCUGAGAGGGGGGUCGGCCACAAUGGGACUGAGACACGGCCCAAGCUCCUACGGGAAGCAGCAGUAGGGAAACUUCGGCCAAGGACGGAAGGCUGACCGAGCAACGCCGCGGGAGUGAAGAAGGGUUUCGGAUCGUAAAACUCUGUUGGUAGAGAAGAACGUUGGUGAGAGUGGAAAGCUCAUCAAGUGACGGUAACUACACAGAAAGGGACGGCUAACUACGUG